UGGGGAAUCUUGGACAAUGGGCGAAAGCCUGAUCCAGCCAUGCCGCGUGUGUGAAGAAGGUCUUCGGAUUGUAAAGCACUUUUAAGUUGGGAGGAAGGGCAUUUACCUAAUACGUAAGUGUUUUGACGUUACCGACAGAAUAAGCACCGGCUAACUCUGUGCCAGCAGCCGCGGUAAUACAGAGGGUGCAAGCGUUAAUCGGAAUUACUGGGCGUAAAGCGCGCGUAGGUGGUUUGUUAAGUUGGAUGUGAAAUCCCCGGGCUCAACCUGGGAACUGCAUUCAAAACUGACAAGCUAGAGUAUGGUAGAGGGUGGUGGAAUUUCCUGUGUAGCGGUGAAAUGCGUAGAUAUAGGAAGGAACACCAGUGGCGAAGGCGACCACCUGGACUGAUACUGACACUGAGGUGCGAAAGCGUGGGGAGCAAACAGGAUUAGAUACCCGCGUAGUCCCUGAGCGGGCUGGCAAGGCGCAU
Molecule: ribosomal RNA, 473 nt
Filed under: uncultured bacterium
Lineage: Bacteria
Description: bacterial SSU rRNA
Rfam family: Bacterial small subunit ribosomal RNA
Source: RNAcentral